RNAcentral lists this ribosomal RNA (255 nucleotides) under uncultured bacterium. RNAcentral's name for it is "partial 16S ribosomal RNA". It matches the Rfam family "Bacterial small subunit ribosomal RNA", at positions 524 to 776 of the family's 1533-position model. The record is from RNAcentral.
UACGUAGGGGGGCCAGCGUUGCUCGGAAUUACUGGGCGUAAGGGGUUCGUAGGCGGUGCGGCAAGUUGGGAGUGAAAUCUCUGGGCUUAACUCAGGGGGCUGCUUUCAAAACUGCCGCGCUCGAGUGCGAGAGAGGUCAGUGGAAUUGCAGGUGUAGCGGUGAAAUGCGUAGAUAUCUGCAGGAACACCCGUGGCGAAGGCGGCUGACUGGAUCGCAACUGACGCUGAGGAACGAAAGCUAGGGGAGCAAACAGG